RNAcentral lists this ribosomal RNA (530 nucleotides) under Citrobacter freundii. RNAcentral describes it as "bacterial SSU rRNA". It matches the Rfam family "Bacterial small subunit ribosomal RNA", at positions 992 to 1522 of the family's 1533-position model. Lineage: Bacteria; Pseudomonadati; Pseudomonadota; Gammaproteobacteria; Enterobacterales; Enterobacteriaceae. The record is from RNAcentral.
GGAAUUUAGCAGAGAUGCUUUAGUGCCUUCGGGAACCGUGAGACAGGUGCUGCAUGGCUGUCGUCAGCUCGUGUUGUGAAAUGUUGGGUUAAGUCCCGCAACGAGCGCAACCCUUAUCCUUUGUUGCCAGCGGUUAGGCCGGGAACUCAAAGGAGACUGCCAGUGAUAAACUGGAGGAAGGUGGGGAUGACGUCAAGUCAUCAUGGCCCUUACGAGUAGGGCUACACACGUGCUACAAUGGCAUAUACAAAGAGAAGCGACCUCGCGAGAGCAAGCGGACCUCAUAAAGUAUGUCGUAGUCCGGAUUGGAGUCUGCAACUCGACUCCAUGAAGUCGGAAUCGCUAGUAAUCGUGGAUCAGAAUGCCACGGUGAAUACGUUCCCGGGCCUUGUACACACCGCCCGUCACACCAUGGGAGUGGGUUGCAAAAGAAGUAGGUAGCUUAACCUUCGGGAGGGCGCUUACCACUUUGUGAUUCAUGACUGGGGUGAAGUCGUAACAAGGUAACCGUAGGGGAACCUGCGGUUGGA